This 1364-nucleotide ribosomal RNA is filed under the name uncultured bacterium. Its description in RNAcentral is "bacterial SSU rRNA". It matches the Rfam family "Bacterial small subunit ribosomal RNA", at positions 27 to 1381 of the family's 1533-position model. The record is from RNAcentral.
GGACGAACGCUGGCGGCGUGCCUAACACAUGCAAGUCGAGCGGAGUCGAUCGACGGAAGCCUUCGGGCGGAAGAUGGUUGACUUAGCGGCGGAUGGGUGAGUAACGCGUGGGCAACCUGCCUCGAAGACCGGGAUAACAGCCCGAAAGGGCUGCUAAUACCGGAUGUGGUCAAGGAUCCGCAUGGAUUUUUGAUUAAAGGGGAAACCCGUUUCGAGAUGGGCCCGCGUCCUAUCAGCUAGUUGGUGAGGUAAAAGCUCACCAAGGCGACGACGGGUAGCCGGCCUGAGAGGGUGACCGGCCACACUGGAACUGAGACACGGUCCAGACUCCUACGGGGGGCAGCAGUGGGGAAUCUUCCACAAUGGGCGAAAGCCUGAUGGAGCGACGCCGCGUGAGCGAAGAAGGCCUUCGGGUUGUAAAGCUCUGUCUGGAGGGACGAAGGAAGUGACGGUACCUCCGGAGGAAGCCACGGCUAACUACGUGCCAGCAGCCGCGGUAAUACGUAGGUGGCGAGCGUUGUCCGGAAUUACUGGGCGUAAAGGGCGGGUAGGCGGAUCUACGAGUUUUUUGUUAAAGGCUACGGCUUAACUGUAGUAAGGCAGGAGAUACUGUAGGUCUGGAAUGCGGUAGGGGAAGACAGAAUUCCUGGUGUAGCGGUGGAAUGCGCAGAGAUCAGGAGGAAUACCGAAGGCGAAGGCAGUCUUCUAGGCCGUAAUUGACGCUUAACUGCGAAGGUGUGGGGAUCAAACAGGAUUAGAUACCCUGGUAGUCCACACAGUAAACGAUAAUCACUAGAUGUCGGAUUCUAGAUGGAUUCGGUGUCGGAGCUAACGCGAUAAGUGAUUCGCCUGGGGAGUACGAUCGCAAGGUUGAAACUCAAAGGAAUUGACGGGGGCCCGCACAAGCGGUGGAGCAUGUGGUUUAAUUCGAGGCAACGCGAAGAACCUUACCCGGUUUUGACAUCCACGGGAGGCUUCAGAGAUGGAGCUGUGCCGGCGUAAGCUGGAGCCGUGAGACAGGUGCUGCAUGGCUGUCGUCAGCUCGUGUCGUGAGAUGUUGGGUUAAGUCCCGCAACGAGCGCAACCCUUGCCUUCAGUUACCAUCAUUAAGUUGGGGACUCUGGAGGGGCCGCUGCGGUAACAACGCAGAGGAAGAUGGGGACGACGUCAAGUCAUCAUGGUCCUUAUGGCCGGGGCUACACACGUGCUACAAUGGCAGUUACAGAGGGGAGCGAUUCAGUAAUGAGGAGCGAAACUCAGAAAAGCUGCCGCAGUUCGGAUUGAGGUCUGCAACUCGGCCUCAUGAAGUCGGAAUCGCUAGUAAUCGCGCAACAUCAUGGCGCGGUGAAUGCGUUCCCGGGCCU